RNAcentral lists this ribosomal RNA (400 nucleotides) under uncultured bacterium. RNAcentral describes it as "bacterial SSU rRNA". It matches the Rfam family "Bacterial small subunit ribosomal RNA", at positions 358 to 774 of the family's 1533-position model. The record is from RNAcentral.
GGAAUAUUGCGCAAUGGAGGAAACUCUGACGCAGUGACGCCGCGUAUAGGAAGAAGGUUUUCGGAUUGUAAACUAUUGUCGAUAGGGAAGAAAAAAGACUGUACCUAUCAAGAAAGCUACGGCUAACUACGUGCCAGCAGCCGCGGUAAUACGUAGGGAGCAAGCGUUAUCCGGAUUUAUUGGGUGUAAAGGGUGCGUAGACGGGAAAUUAAGUUAGUUGUGAAAUCCCUCGGCUCAACUGAGGAACUGCAACUAAAACUGGUUUUCUUGAGUGCAGGAGAGGAAAGUGGAAUUCCUAGUGUAGCGGUGAAAUGCGUAGAUAUUAGGAGGAACACCAGUGGCGAAGGCGACUUUCUGGACUGUAACUGACGUUGAGGCACGAAAGUGUGGGGAGCAAACA